RNAcentral lists this small RNA (3887 nucleotides) under Pan troglodytes (chimpanzee). RNAcentral's name for it is "processed transcript". The record is from RNAcentral. Lineage: Eukaryota; Metazoa; Chordata; Mammalia; Primates; Hominidae.
UAGCUGCCUGGCAUGUUACUGGAGGUACUUUGCAGUCAUUGCUGGGAUUUCACUGAUGUGACCCCAACGCUGCCUCUCUCUCCACACCACGAUGUCGGAAGAAACUCAACAGAGUAAAUUGGCUGUGGCCAAGAAAAAGUCCUCGAGCCGCUGUGAAGCAGUCCUCAAGUGGCAGUUAUGGCAGUCGGUAAAGGCUCGGGCACAGCUGGAAGCACACGUGACACAGAUGAUGGAACAAGUCCAGCUAGAGACAGAUGAAUAUGCUCAACAUCUAAAAGGAGAGAGGGCCCGGUGGCAGCAGAGGGUAUGGAAAAUGUCAGAGGAGGGCCCUGUCCCCCGUGCUUUGGGCAGGUUUGCACAUGGAAGGAGGAGAAGAAGCAUGACAGGCAUCGGGUACAGGAGCUGGAGAGGAGCUUGGCCAACCUCAAAAACUAGAUGGCUGAACCCCUGCCCCCGGAGCCCCCAGCAGGGCCCUCUGAGGUGGAACAGCAGCUACAAGCUGAGGCCGAGCACCCGAGGAAGGAGCUGGAGAGUCUGGCAGGACAGCUCCAAGCUCAGGUGCAAAACAAUCAAGGCUUGAGUCACCUGAACUGGGAGCAGGAGGAGAGGCUGCUGGAACGGGAGAUGCUGCGGGAGCAGGAGAGGCUGCAGGAGCUGGAGCACGCGCUCUCUCAGAACCAUGAGCUCGACUAGCAGCUGGCUGGGCCACAGAGCGGCUUAGAGGAGCUGAAUGAUGAGAAUAAGAGGGCACUACAGUUGGAGCAGUAAGUAAAGGAGCUGCAGGAGAAGCUGGGCAAGCUGAAGGAGACUGUAACCUCUGCCCAUCCAAGGAAGGCUGGGAGGAGCACCUGGAAGGUACCAGCCAGCAGAACCAGCAGCUACAGGCCCAGUUGAGCCUCAUGGCAGUCCCUAGGCAAGGUGGCGUUUUUCAACUCCGCUGGAGCCAGUGCCCAGGAGGAGCAGGUAUGGCUUAUGUGGGCAGCUGAAGGAGCAAAGGGUGUGGUGCCAGCGCCUGACUCACCCAGGUGGCCUUGGCCCAGAAGGAGCCAGAGGUAGUGGAACCAGCCCCAGGGACUGGGUAUGAGUCUGUGUGUGGGUAGACUCAUCAGGCCCUGCAGGGGUCCAUGGAGAAGUUGCAGGUGAGUGAGUCCUGGCAUGGGCCAAGAAGGUUGGGGGCAGAGCAGGGCAGGGCAGGUCGCUCUCAAGAUGUGACCCCAUUAUUUUGGAUCCAGAGCGGCUUUAUGGACCUCCUGAAGGAGAAGGUGGACCUGAAGGAGUGGGUGGAGAAACUAGAGCUUCGAUCCAUUCACCUCUCAGGACAGACAGACACCAUCAGAAAGUAAAUCACAACAUAUGCGGGCCAGAGGGCAGUGCCACAGACGCCGCACCAGGAGGAGGAGGACAUCAUCAGGCUGGCCCAGGACAAAGAGGAGAUGAAGAUGGGGCGUGCAGCACCUCUGUGGGGGUAGGGGUGGGGUGGGCAUGAGCGAGGCCAGGGGCACUGGCACCAGCGUGGCAGCUGAGCACCCCUCCCUUCAGGUGAAACUGCUGGAGCUGCAGGAGCUGGUGUUGCGGCUUGCAGGCGAUCACAACGAGGGGCAUGGCAAAUUCCUGGCCGCUGCCCAGAACCCUGCUGAUGAUCCUGCUCCAGGGGCCCCAGCCCCUAAGGAGCUUGGGGCUGCUGACAAGCAGGGUGGCUUUGAAGACAAGAUUCCCAAAAGGAGAUUCUCUGAGAUGCAAAAUGAAAGACGAGAACAGGCACAGAGGACUGUUUUAAUACAUUGCCCAGAGAAAAUCAGUGAAAACAAGUUUCUUAAAUAUUUAUCCCAAUUUGGACCUAUUAAUAAUCAUUUCUUCUAUGAAAGCUUUGGUCUCUAUGCUGUCGUAGAAUUUUGCCAAAAGGAAAGCAUAGGUUCACUGCAGAAUGGGACUCAUACUCCAAGCACGGCCAUGGAGACUGCAAUUCCAUUCAGAUCACGUUUCUUCAAUCUGAAGUUGAAAAACCAGACUUCUGAACGGUCACGCGUACGGUCAAGUAAUCAGUUGCCACGUUCAAACAAGCAGCUUUUUGAAUUACUUUGUUAUGCAGAAAGUAUAGACGAUCAGCUGAACACUCUCUUGAAGGAGUUCCAGCUAACAGAGGAGAACACUAAGCUCCGAUAUCUCACCUGUUCUCUUAUUGAAGACAUAGCAGCUGCAUAUUUUCCAGACUGCAUAGUCAGACCCUUUGGCUCCUCAGUCAACACUUUUGGGAAGUUAGGAUGUGAUUUGGACAUGUUUUUGGAUCUAGAUGAAACCAGAAACCUCAGCGCUCACAAGACCUCAGGAAAUUUUCUGAUGGAAUUUCAAGUGAAAAAUGUUCCUUCAGAAAGAAUUGCAACUCAGAAGAUCCUGUCUGUGUUAGGAGAGUGCCUUGACCACUUUGGCCCUGGUUGUGUGGGUGUGCAAAAAAUAUUAAAUGCCCGGUGUCCGCUCGUGAGGUUCUCACACCAGGCCUCUGGAUUUCAGUGUGAUUUGACUACGAACAAUAGGAUUGCCUUGACAAGUUCCGAACUCCUUUAUAUAUAUGGUGCCCUAGACUCAAGAGUGAGAGCCUUGGUGUUCAGUAUACGGUGCUGGGCUCGAGCACAUUCACUAACAAGUAGUAUUCCUGGUGCAUGGAUUACAAAUUUCUCCCUUACAAUGAUGGUCAUCUUUUUUCUCCAGAGAAGAUCACCCCCUAUUCUUCCAACACUAGAUUCCUUAAAAACCCUAGCAGAUGCAGAAGAUAAAUGUGUAAUAGAAGGCAACAACUGCACAUUUGUUCGUGACUUGAGUAGAAUUAAACCUUCACAGAACACAGAAACAUUAGAAUUACUACUGAAGGAAUUUUUUGAGUAUUUCGGCAAUUUUGCUUUCGAUAAAAAUUCCAUAAAUAUUCGACAGGGAAGGGAGCAAAACAAACCUGAUUCUUCUCCUCUGUACAUUCAGAAUCCAUUUGAAACUUCUCUCAACAUAAGCAAAAAUGUAAGUCAAAGCCAGCUGCAAAAAUUUGUAGAUUUGGCCCGAGAAAGUGCCUGGAUUUUACAACAGGAAGAUAUAGAUCGACCUUCCAUAUCAAGUAAUCGGCCCUGGGGGCUGGUAUCCCUAUUGCUACCAUCUCCUCCAAACAGAAAGUCCUUUACCAAGAAGAAAAGCAAUAAGUUUGCAAUUGAAACAGUCAAAAACUUGUUAGAAUCUUUAAAAGGUAACAGAACAGAAAAUUUCACAAAAACCAGUGGGAAGAGAACAAUUAGUACUCAGACAUGAUGGCUGCUACAUUGUGUAAAGAACUGGGCUUAGCCUAUCAAAUGGUCUGUGGACUUACUUGGAAAAACUGAUUUGAAACUUUCACAGAUCUCAGCUUUCAUCUGAUGUCACUUUUCAUGAUCUUCUCAUUGGCCCCCUUAACCUGGUCUGAAGUUCUGGGAUGUUUUCAGUCUGAUCAGUCUGAUACUCAGUGGCACUUUAUUAAAACAUCAGCUGUGGAGUGUGGCGGUGCACACCUGUAGUCCCAGCUGCUCAGGAGGCUGAGGCAGGAGGAUCUCUUGAGCCCAGGAUUUUGAAUCCAUCGUGGACAACAUAGCAAGAUUCCAUCUCUAAAAAAAAUGAAAAUAAACAUAAGCCACAAGGAAUGGGUGAAAGAUUAUUGUAAUGUGCUUUAACUAAAUAGGUAAAUAUACUAAACAAAUGCUAAAACUCAGUUAUAGGAUGAAACCAUUGUUGAUAUCCACAUCAGUCCCUGUUUAGAAAACAUUUAAAAUGACUUUUAGUUAUGUACAGUACGUUGGCAAUGAAUACAUUAAGCUUCAAAAUUUGGUAGUGCUCUCGAAUAUGUAUAUUUGUAUUUUUCAAGCGAAGUUCUCUUA